Molecule: ribosomal RNA, 492 nt
Filed under: uncultured bacterium
Lineage: Bacteria
Description: partial 16S ribosomal RNA
Rfam family: Bacterial small subunit ribosomal RNA
Source: RNAcentral
AGUGAACGCUGGCGGUAGGCCUAACACAUGCAAGUCGAACGGCAGCACAGUAAGAGCUUGCUCUUACGGGUGGCGAGUGGCGGACGGGUGAGGAAUACAUCGGAAUCUACUUUUUCGUGGGGGAUAACGUAGGGAAACUUACGCUAAUACCGCAUACUACCUACGGGUGAAAGCAGGGGAUCUUCGGACCUUGCGCGAUUGAAUGAGCCGAUGUCGGAUUAGCUAGUUGGCGGGGUAAAGGCCCACCAAGGCGACGAUCCGUAGCUGGUCUGAGAGGAUGAUCAGCCACACUGGAACUGAGACACGGUCCAGACUCCUACGGGAGGCAGCAGUAGGGAAUAUUGGACAAUGGGCGCAAGCCUGAUCCAGCCAUACCGCGUGGGUGAAGAAGGCCUUCGGGUUGUAAAGCCCUUUUGUUGGGAAAGAAAAGCAGCAGGUUAAUACCCCGCUGUUCCGACGGUACCCAAAGAAUAAGCACCGGCUAACUUCGUG